AUUGAACGCUGGCGGCAGGCCUAACACAUGCAAGUCGAACGGUAACAGGAAGCAGCUUGCUGCUUCGCUGACGAGUGGCGGACGGGUGAGUAAUGUCUGGGAAGCUGCCUGAUGGAGGGGGAUAACUACUGGAAACGGUAGCUAAUACCGCAUAAUGUCGCAAGACCAAAGAGGGGGACCUUCUGGCCUCUUGCCAUCGGAUGUGCCCAGAUGGGAGUAGCUUGUUGGUGGGGUAACGGCUCACCAAGGCGACGAUCCCUAGCUGGUCUGAGAGGAUGACCAGCCACACUGGAACUGAGACACGGUCCAGACUCCUACGGGAGGCAGCAGUGGGGAAUAUUGCACAAUGGGCGCAAGCCUGAUGCAGCCAUGCCGCGUGUAUGAAGAAGGCCUUCGGGUUGUAAAGUACUUUCAGCGGGGAGGAAGGGAGUAAAGUUAAUACCUUUGCUCAUUGACGUUACCCGCAGAAGAAGCACCGGCUAACUCCGUG
This 490-nucleotide ribosomal RNA is filed under the name uncultured bacterium. RNAcentral describes it as "partial 16S ribosomal RNA". It matches the Rfam family "Bacterial small subunit ribosomal RNA", at positions 30 to 507 of the family's 1533-position model. The record is from RNAcentral.